This 540-nucleotide ribosomal RNA is filed under the name Triticum aestivum (bread wheat). Its description in RNAcentral is "partial small subunit ribosomal RNA". Lineage: Eukaryota; Viridiplantae; Streptophyta; Magnoliopsida; Poales; Poaceae. The record is from RNAcentral.
AUGUCGGGUCUCAAAAUCAACUUCGACAAGAGCGAAGUGAUGAUGAUUGGCUACUCCCCCACCGAGCCAAAGUGUCGCGACCGUCUUAAUUGUCAGUUGGAUUCCUUCCCCACGACCUACCUGGGGAUACCCAUUGACUCUCAGCUAUCCGUGGCGGACUUGCGGCCAACAAUGAACAAGCUCCAGCACCGUAUCGAGCCCUAGCAGGGUAGAUGGUUGUCUAAGGCGGCGCAGAUGAUACUCAUCAAUUCGUCCCUCUCCAGCCUGCUCUCAUUCAUCAUGAGCUUUUACAGCCUCCAUGAGACUCUCCAUCAUGAGAUGGCCAAGGUCCAGGCUAGAUUCUUCUGGGCCGGGGAUGGUGAUAAGUAGAAGUACCAUAUGGUUCGCUGGCCCGACAUAUGCAAGCCACAUGACCAGGGCAGGCUUGGGAUCAUGUCCUCUAAGCGCAUGAACAAUGCUCUCCUGACCCGCUCGUUGUGGCGGAUUGCAAAUGGGGAGGGCGGCCUUUGGCUUGAUAUCAUCCAGAACAAAUAUCUGUGA